RNAcentral lists this ribosomal RNA (900 nucleotides) under uncultured archaeon. Its description in RNAcentral is "bacterial SSU rRNA". It matches the Rfam family "Archaeal small subunit ribosomal RNA", at positions 1 to 878 of the family's 1478-position model. The record is from RNAcentral.
CUCCCGGUGAUCCCGCGGGACCCGACUGCUAUCGGAUUGAGAUUUAGCCAUGCGAGUCGAACGUCCCCCUGUUGCGGGGGGCGUGGCGUACGGCUCAGUAACACGUAGUCAACCUGCCCUGGAGACAAGGACAACCCCGGGAAACUGGGAUUAAUCCUUGAUAGGUCAUCUCAUCUGGAAGGAGAGAUGGCUUAAAGGGGUACGCGGGCUUCUUCCGCGAAUCUGCUCCAGGAUGGGACUGCGUCCGAUCAGGCUGUUGGCGGGGUAAUGGCCCACCAAACCUGUAACCGGUACGGGCCUUGAGAGAGGUGGCCCGGAGAUGGACACUGAGAGAAGGGUCCAGGUCCUACGGGGCGCAGCAGGCGCGAAACCUUCGCAAUGCGCGAAAGCGUGACGAGGUUAAUCCGAGUGACUCCCGCUGAGGGGGUCUUUUGUCAGCUGUAAAUAGGCAGGCGAAUAAGGGGAGGGCAAGCCUGGUGUCAGCCGCCGCGGUAAUACCAGCUCCUCGAGUGGUCGGGGCGAUUAUUGGGCCUAAAGCAUCCGUAGCCGGUUCCGUAGGUCCUCUGUUAAAUCCAACCGCUUAACGGUUGACCUGCAGAGGAUACCGCGGGACUAGGAGGCGGGAGAGGCGGACGGUACUCCGCGUGUAGGGGUAAAAUCCUUUGAUCCGCGGAAGACCACCAGUGGCGAAGGCGGUCCGCCAGAACGCGCUCGACGGUGAGGGAUGAAAGCUGGGGGAGCGAACCGGAUUAGAUACCCGGGUAGUCCCAGCCGUAAACGAUGCUAGCUAGAUGAUUCAUUCGCAAGUCGCGAAUGAAGUGUCGCAGGGAAGCCGUUAAGCUAGCCGCCUGGGGAGUACGGUCGCAAGACUGAAACUUAAAGGAAUUGGCGGGGGGAGCA